Molecule: ribosomal RNA, 686 nt
Filed under: uncultured Mycobacterium sp.
Lineage: Bacteria; Bacillati; Actinomycetota; Actinomycetes; Mycobacteriales; Mycobacteriaceae
Description: bacterial SSU rRNA
Rfam family: Bacterial small subunit ribosomal RNA
Source: RNAcentral
GCACUUCGGGAUAAGCUUGGGAAACUGGGUCUAAUACCGGAUAGGACUACGGCCUGCAUGGAUUGUGGUGGAAAGCUUUUGCGGUGUGGGAUGGGCCCGCGGCCUAUCAGCUUGUUGGUGGGGUGAUGGCCUACCAAGGCGACGACGGGUAGCCGGCCUGAGAGGGUGUCCGGCCACACUGGGACUGAGAUACGGCCCAGACUCCUACGGGAGGCAGCAGUGGGGAAUAUUGCACAAUGGGCGCAAGCCUGAUGCAGCGACGCCGCGUGAGGGAUGGCGGCCUUCGGGUUGUAAACCUCUUUCAGUGCCGACGAAGCGUAAGUGACGGUAGGCAUAGAAGAAGCACCGGCCAACUACGUGCCAGCAGCCGCGGUAAUACGUAGGGUGCAAGCGUUGUCCGGAAUUACUGGGCGUAAAGAGCUCGUAGGUGGUUUGUCGCGUUGUUCGUGAAAACUCACAGCUCAACUGUGGGCGUGCGGGCGAUACGGGCAGACUUGAGUACUGCAGGGGAGACUGGAAUUCCUGGUGUAGCGGUGGAAUGCGCAGAUAUCAGGAGGAACACCGGUGGCGAAGGCGGGUCUCUGGGCAGUAACUGACGCUGAGGAGCGAAAGCGUGGGGAGCGAACAGGAUUAGAUACCCUGGUAGUCCACGCCGUAAACGGUGGGUACUAGGUGUGGGUUUCCUU